UAGAUAGUGCUGUAAAUAAGAGUAAGU
RNAcentral lists this non-coding RNA (27 nucleotides) under Mus musculus (house mouse). The record is from RNAcentral. Lineage: Eukaryota; Metazoa; Chordata; Mammalia; Rodentia; Muridae.